Molecule: ribosomal RNA, 446 nt
Filed under: uncultured bacterium
Lineage: Bacteria
Description: bacterial SSU rRNA
Rfam family: Bacterial small subunit ribosomal RNA
Source: RNAcentral
GGCCAGACUCCUACGGGAGGCAGCAGUGGGGAAUAUUGCACAAUGGGGGAAACCCUGAUGCAGCGACGCCGCGUGAGCGAUGAAGUAUUUCGGUAUGUAAAGCUCUAUCAGCAGGGAAGAAAAUGACGGUACCUGACUAAGAAGCCCCGGCUAACUACGUGCCAGCAGCCGCGGUAAUACGUAGGUGGCAAGCGUUGUCCGGAUUUACUGGGUGUAAAGGGCGUGCAGCCGGGAGUGCAAGUCAGAUGUGAAAUCCCGCGGCUCAACCGCGGAACUGCAUUUGAAACUGUGCUUCUUGAGUGCUGGAGAGGCAGACGGAAUUCCUAGUGUAGCGGUGAAAUGCGUAGAUAUUAGGAGGAACACCGGUGGCGAAGGCGGUCUGCUGGACAGUAACUGACGGUGAGGCGCGAAAGCGUGGGGAGCAAACAGGAUUAGAUACCCGGGUA